GAUGAACGCUGGCGGCGUGCCUAACACAUGCAAGUCGAACGAAAAGACGAGGAGCUUGCUCCUCUGACGUUAGCGGCGGAGGGGUGAGUAACAUGUGUAUAACCUACCUAUAAGACUGGGAUCAUCUCGGGAAACCGGAUCUUAUACCGGAUAAUAUAUUGAACCGCAUUGUGCAAUAGUUAAAGACGGUUUUUGUGUCGCUAAUAGCUGGAUCCGCGCCGGAUUAGGUGGUUGGUAAGGUAACGGCUUUCCAAGGCGAGGAUGCGUAGCCGACCUGAGAGGGUGAUCGGCCACACGGGAACUGAGACACGGUCCAGACUCCUACGGGAGGCAGCAGUAGGGAAUCUUACGCAAUGGGCGAAAGCCUGACGGAGCAACGCCGCGUGAGUGAUGAAGGUCUUCGGAUCGGAAAGCUCUGUUAUUGGGGAAGAACAAAUGUGUAAGUACCCGUGCACGUAUUGACGGUACCUGGUCAAGAAGCCCCGGCUAACUACGUG
Molecule: ribosomal RNA, 497 nt
Filed under: uncultured bacterium
Lineage: Bacteria
Description: partial 16S ribosomal RNA
Rfam family: Bacterial small subunit ribosomal RNA
Source: RNAcentral